AUCUUUGCUGGAUUUCUUCACAGUCGGAUAUCUUCAAGGUCAGGCUCCUUCAGGCAUUCAAGGCCUGUUAUCCUUUCUUCUCAGAGUUGCCAUGUUGGAUACUUACAAGCCAGGAUAAAGUUUUCAGGAUGUCUUUGCUGGACUUCUUCACAGUCAGAUUUCUUCAAAGUCAGACUCCUUCAAGCAUUCAAGUCAGAUAUUUUUUCAAGUUGAAUUCUUCAAGUCAAGUCAUCCAUUCUCCCAAGUAUCAUCUUGAAUGAUAACAAGCCUGGAAAUAGGUAAGUUACACAUGCAGCAAUGUAUUUGGUUCUAACAAGAUUUUUCUUUAUUGUAGGAUUUUUCACGGCCAAGUGUGUACUGACUGAUUUUAUUCAAAAAGAUUUUCCAUUUCUCAGGCUGAGAACACUAAUACUAAUUUUGGUGGCUUGAAAAUCACAUGGGGCAAUAAUAUUAUUUCUAAAAUUAGAAAAAUCCUAUCGAUUGGGAAGCACACAACCUGAUCCUUACAACUUGCAAUCUCCAGAUGGAAUCUGCUGUCAUUCAUUAAAGUUUCUGAAACUCUCCUACA
Long non-coding RNA from Xenopus tropicalis (tropical clawed frog), 568 nucleotides. RefSeq lists it as uncharacterized. Lineage: Eukaryota; Metazoa; Chordata; Amphibia; Anura; Pipidae. The record is from RefSeq and is a predicted model, not a curated record. The transcript is spliced from 4 exons.